GACAGUUUGGGCUUACGAUGUCGUAUCAAUCCCACUGUCGAAUCGUAACUGUAGGACGACGGUUGUCGGUGCCGAUCUAAGGCGAACCGUAGAUUAUUUUACACGGGCUCGGGUCGGUUUUCGGUCGAACAAAGAAUUACGUACUACAUGGCUACGCGGACUGUAGAAUAAAGACCGUGGUGCGGACAGUAGUUCGGAGGACGGCAGACCCCCGUACCCCGUUGGCGCGAUCGAACGACGCGGAAACGAUGGCACACUGGCCACUGCCAACUCGUGCAUAUUGUUAUCAGCAACUGAUGCACAAAUUUUGCAACAUUACA
Molecule: non-coding RNA, 320 nt
Organism: Cinara cedri
Lineage: Eukaryota; Metazoa; Arthropoda; Insecta; Hemiptera; Aphididae
Source: the annotation of a GenBank genome assembly